Long non-coding RNA from Pogoniulus pusillus (Red-fronted tinkerbird), 1432 nucleotides. RefSeq lists it as uncharacterized. NCBI's taxonomy places the organism in Eukaryota, Metazoa, Chordata, Aves, Piciformes, Lybiidae. The record is from RefSeq and is a predicted model, not a curated record. The transcript has 3 exons.
UUUUCUCUCCAGUUUUGUUUUCACUUUGAGUCUUGCCACCAACCUCACAUGGUUUCCUGGCUGGCAGAAUAAUCUCUAAGCUUAGCAAACAGAAGGCUUAGAGCAUGUCAAGUGAGCAGAAGAAGCUCUCAGCCCGGUCUGGAGGAGGCAAGGGGGUGGACUUUUUGUGCUGCUCGUGGUGCUGAGUUCUCCUGGUGUGUGUCCCCGAGAAGUGGAGGCUGUUGCCUGUAAGCUCCCACGGACCAAGCUGCUUUACUCACGGACGAGGCUCUGGAGCUGACCUCCUGCUGUUUCAUGGGCUAACGCUCCUGAGAAGAUGGGAGUAAGGUGAGGAUUGGGUCUUGGAGGCUGCUGUCAACUUGCUCCCCCAGAGAAGGCAGCAGUUGUGUGGAUUCCUUUUCAGUGGUGGUAAUUAUGCAAUCUGGAUAGAAAUCUUCAACCAAAGAGGCUGAGGUAAAGCAUCAAGAAGUGGAGAAAAAUCACUUUGCAUGUUCCAACAGACUAACAAAUUACCUAUGGAAAUACACUUGGGAAUAUUCCUCAGUAAUUGGAUCUCAGCUGUUGUUUCAUUGUGUGUGCCCCCAGGCUGUGGAGGUAAAAACUCCACUGAAAUGCUUUGAAAUAUUCUCUGGCACCUAUAAAAUGUGUUUACUAUUAAAAAGGGAAACCUGCAAGUCAGAACACUGCUAAGUGCAGUUUAAAAACAAAAUUGCCCUCCUGCAGCAUAGCUCAGGGUGUUGAAGCAUCUGGUUAAUCCAGACUGUCUCAAGCCAGACACAUUCCUGUGAUUUGAGAGGAGAAGUCCUGUCUGAUUUCUUCUGCCAGGGUAACAUGGGCACGUCUGUGUCGCAGAGCAGGAACCCUCAAACAGUAAAUGCUUUCUGGCCUGGAGUAGGCUAAGAAACAGAUGGGAAGGUUUGCAGGAUGAGUUCUUCUAGAUCUGGAACCUCUUGUUUUUUCUGUUUCCACAUCUGGACUCCAAGUUGCUCUUUACAGGCUUUUGCAGAGCAUGGAGAGCAGCAUCUCCAAGCAGUUGCAAUAUGUUUGUUGCAGGACAGUUGUGCUCUUGGAAAGAUGACACUGGAUGUUUGGCAUCUUUUUCUUCAAAUGUUAGUGACCUCUCCAGUUCUGACCUUGAUGAUGUUGCACAGCAUAUGGCAGCUACUGAGUUUGAUGUGGAAAAGGGGGAGCAUGUGAGGUGACAAUCUGAAUAGAAUUUGGAUGCUGAGAAAGUAUACCUGAGUUUUGGGAGCAGAAAGGGAGCAAAUCCUUUUUCCUUAUCACACCUCUGCCAAAGCUGAAGCUUUGUUUCAGGUUGUAUUAAAAAGAUAUGUUCCCAGUUGUCCAAAUCCUGAUUAUCCAUGGCUUCGUGCUGCUGUGGUAUGCUCAGACCAAGCAAUGCUCUCAGUCUGUUCUAUAGCAUAAUAAAGAA